Molecule: long non-coding RNA, 1206 nt
Organism: Daphnia pulicaria
Lineage: Eukaryota; Metazoa; Arthropoda; Branchiopoda; Diplostraca; Daphniidae
Exons: 3
Source: RefSeq, a predicted model, not a curated record
CAGUUUCGACAUUGGUUUUGAAAAACAAAGAAGUUUCAAGUUUCAGCUAUUUUUUAUCAUAGAAAACUGAAUGGAAGACUGAUUCACCAGAAUCAUGUUAUCACCAAUAACAUACAUAUUACGUAUGUAAACGUGUAUACAUGGCCGCAAGAGAAAUAGAAGAACAAAAUAAAAUGCGCCGUAUGAAUUUUGGGUGUCGCGACUCCCCAUGCUCUCCACUCCAUGCUGUUUCUCAGAUUUCAGCCCUGAGCCAGCCAUCGUAACCACAAGAUGUGCAAGUUUUGAUACUGACCUGUCAUCACAAACAAACUAAGCAUCAUCAAUUGGAUAAUCAGCUCCUAGUUUAAUUGGAAAAACUCUGUCCUCGUGUUGUACACCCAUGUGAAGGUGUGUGUAUAUUCAUGAUGACCCCCUUUUCCUAUCCUGCCUGGCGUCAACUUGACUGAGGAUGGAGAACUUGUUGAUACCUGGCUGUGAAUUUCCCCGGCUUAAAGGUAGGACAAUUGUCUCUCUAUUCUUCCUUUUCUUUUACUAUUCGUUGGCGUUGGUUAUGAAACGUUACGGAGUACGAUUAUUCCUGAGUUAUAGGCCUUUGACUGCAAGUUUUAGCUCUUGCCGUGUCUGUUAUCUCAAUCAGGGUUUAUUAAAUAAUUCAUAUGUAGAGCGACUGCACAUUAGGCUUGUUUUAUAGCUCACAACUUUGUCUUCUGGUAAACAACCAAAUCGAAGAAAAAUUGUUAAAUUUUAAACACUUCAAACAAUGUGUUAAGUCUUUAAAAUUGUAUUUCCAAGAGGGACCCUCCGCCACACCGGCAUCUCCUCGUUAGAACUGGAAAGGAAGAUAGUUUAUAAAGUUCAAUCAAUCACGAAAUGGAUGAUGACUCAUCAGAAUAUUAUAAGGCACGGUUGAGAGUUGGAAUUCCCGUUUCGUAGAGAUGCUGGACGGAAGUGGGACUAUGUGCAAGGGGCCGAGUUAACUCGCAAACUCCGCGUUGGAAGUUGAUUUUGAAAAUUUGCUCUGGACCUGUCAGAAUCUUGCAGAACGACACCCUUCGGUAUGAGACACCGCAACACCCGGAAGCGUGUUAAUCCAUCCGCACGUUAUCAGAAAAUGCAGGAAAACCAGUUAAACCACAACCCAAACAAAGAAAGUGAAAUGAUACAGGCUGAGUGCUGCAAAUGCCGUUGACUUUUGAUAGAUAUAAA